RNAcentral lists this ribosomal RNA (533 nucleotides) under Globigerinella siphonifera. RNAcentral describes it as "bacterial SSU rRNA". It matches the Rfam family "Eukaryotic small subunit ribosomal RNA", at positions 1187 to 1460 of the family's 1831-position model. RNAcentral also lists the same sequence under 1 other name. Lineage: Eukaryota; Foraminifera; Rotaliida; Globigerinidae. The record is from RNAcentral.
UGGCUUAAUUUGACUCAACGCGGGGAAUCUUACCGGGUCCGGACACACUGAGGAUCGACAGACAGUUGUCUUUCCCUCCCUUCGGGGUGGGAUUACAAAAGAUAACAGAUCUUUCAUGAUCAUGUGAUGGGUGGUGCAUGGCCGUUCUUAGUUCGUGGAGUGAUCUGUCUGCUUAAUUGCGUUUCAAAUUUUAUAUUUGUUAACAUGCGAGUCUUCAAUGACGGCCGCUCCACCUUAUAGACAUUAUAUGAUAUGCACAUUUGUGUAUUUGAUUAUAACUUGUCUGGAGUCUGGCUCGAUUUUUUUGACUCAAUUGAACGCAACGGACGUGAUUGCAAGUCCUUGUUGAACAAAUUAUAUAUAUACUACUUCAUCAUUAGUAUAUAUAGUUCGCUUCUCAUGUCGUAGCAGUCAAACGGGCGGGCGUCUUAAUUGGCGCGGUCACGAGGCUUAAUAUGCUGCGGCAGGGAAAACUUGGGCGACCGCUGUAAUACUUCUCUCUUAAACCAGAGGAAGAUUGCGGCAAUAACAGG